AAUAAGUUACCGCCGGGUAACCUGGUUUAACGUCUUUGCCGCUCUGUAGGCCGUAGAAGGAGCGGGCGGGGGCGUUUUCUUUUUU
This 85-nucleotide non-coding RNA is filed under the name unclassified sequences. The record is from RNAcentral.